This 429-nucleotide ribosomal RNA is filed under the name Bacteroidota bacterium. RNAcentral describes it as "Bacteroidetes bacterium partial 16S ribosomal RNA". It matches the Rfam family "Bacterial small subunit ribosomal RNA", at positions 355 to 776 of the family's 1533-position model. Lineage: Bacteria; Pseudomonadati; Bacteroidota. The record is from RNAcentral.
UAGGGAAUCUUCGGCAAUGGGGGGAACCCUGACCGAGCAACGCCGCGUGAGUGAAGAAGGUUUUCGGAUCGUAAAGCUCUGUUGUUAAGGAAGAACGAGUGUGAGAAUGGAAAGUUCAUACUGUGACGGUACUUAACCAGAAAGGGACGGCUAACUACGUGCCAGCAGCCGCGGUAAUACGUAGGUCCCGAGCGUUGUCCGGAUUUAUUGGGCGUAAAGCGAGCGCAGGCGGUUAGAUAAGUCUGAAGUUAAAGGCAGUGGCUCAACCAUUGUAGGCUUUGGAAACUGUGUAACUUGAGUGCAGAAGGGGAGAGUGGAAUUCCAUGUGUAGCGGUGAAAUGCGUAGAUAUAUGGAGGAACACCGGUGGCGAAAGCGGCUCUCUGGUCUGUAACUGACGCGGAGGCUCGAAAGCGUGGGGAGCGAACAGG